UACGUAGGGUGCAAGCGUUAAUCGGAAUUACUGGGCGUAAAGCGUGCGCAGGCGGUUUUGUAAGUCUGUCGUGAAAUCCCCGGGCUCAACCUGGGAAUUGCGAUGGAGACUGCAAGGCUAGAAUCUGGCAGAGGGGGUAGAAUUCCACGUGUGAGCGGUGAAAUGCGUAGAGAUCGGGAGGAACACCAGUGGCGAAGGCGGCCUUCUGGACCAGCACUGACACUCGAAGCACGAAAGCGUGGGGAGCAAACAGG
This 254-nucleotide ribosomal RNA is filed under the name uncultured bacterium. Its description in RNAcentral is "partial 16S ribosomal RNA". It matches the Rfam family "Bacterial small subunit ribosomal RNA", at positions 524 to 776 of the family's 1533-position model. The record is from RNAcentral.